UACGUAGGGGGCAAGCGUUGUCCGGAUUUAUUGGGCGUAAAGAGCGUGUAGGCGGCCAGAUAGGUCAGCUGUGAAAACUCGAGGCUCAACCUCGAGACGUCGGUUGAAACCAUCUGGCUAGAGUCCGGAAGAGGAGAGUGGAAUUCCCGGUGUAGCGGUGAAAUGCGCAGAUAUCGGGAAAAACACCCGUGGCGAAGGCGGCUCUCUGGGACGGUACUGACGCUGAGACGCGAAAGCGUGGGUAGCAAACAGG
RNAcentral lists this ribosomal RNA (253 nucleotides) under uncultured bacterium. RNAcentral's name for it is "partial 16S ribosomal RNA". It matches the Rfam family "Bacterial small subunit ribosomal RNA", at positions 524 to 776 of the family's 1533-position model. The record is from RNAcentral.